This 253-nucleotide ribosomal RNA is filed under the name uncultured bacterium. Its description in RNAcentral is "partial 16S ribosomal RNA". It matches the Rfam family "Bacterial small subunit ribosomal RNA", at positions 524 to 776 of the family's 1533-position model. The record is from RNAcentral.
UACGUAGGGUGCAAGCGUUAAUCGGAAUUACUGGGCGUAAAGCGCACGUAGGCGGCUUUGUAAGUUAGAGGUGAAAGCCCGGGGCUCAACCCCGGAAUUGCCUUUAAGACUGCAUCGCUUGAAUCCAGGAGAGGUGAGUGGAAUUCCGAGUGUAGAGGUGAAAUUCGUAGAUAUUCGGAAGAACACCAGUGGCGAAGGCGGCUCACUGGACUGGUAUUGACGCUGAGGUGCGAAAGCGUGGGGAGCAAACAAG